GUAAAAAUAAGAAAAGAAUCGAAAUAACCUACAAAGGUGGGAUCUGCAGGGUGGCAGAAA
Molecule: non-coding RNA, 60 nt
Submitted as: unclassified sequences
Source: Rfam